This 1375-nucleotide ribosomal RNA is filed under the name uncultured bacterium. RNAcentral describes it as "bacterial SSU rRNA". It matches the Rfam family "Bacterial small subunit ribosomal RNA", at positions 28 to 1381 of the family's 1533-position model. The record is from RNAcentral.
GACGAACGCUGGCGGCGUGCCUAAUACAUGCAAGUAGAACGCUGAAGAGAGGAGCUUGCUCUUCUUGGAUGAGUUGCGAACGGGUGAGUAACGCGUAAGUAACCUGCCUGGGAGCGGGGGAUAACUAUUGGAAACUAUAGCUAAUACCGCAUACAAUUGAUUAUUGCAUGAUAAUUAAUUGAAAGAUGCAAUUGCGUCACUACCAGAUGGACCUGCGUUGUAUUAUCUAGUUGGUGAGGUAACGGCUCACCGAGGCGACGAUACAUAGGCCACCUGAGAGGGUGAUCGGCCACGCUGGUACUGAGACACGGACCAUACUCCUACAGGAGGCAGCAGUAAAGAAUCUUCGGCAAUGGGGGGAACCCUGACCGAACAACGCCUCGUGAGUGAAGAACGUUUUCGGAUCGUAAAGCUCUGUCCUAAAGAAGAACGGGUGUGAGAGUGGAAAGUUCACACUGUGACUGUAUCUUAGCCAAAAGGGACGGCUAACUACGUGCCAGCAGGCAGCGGUAAUACGUAUGUCCCGAACGUUGUCCGGGAUUUAUUGGGGGUAAAGUGGGGCGCUGGGGGUUUUAUAAAGUCAGAAGUUAAAGGUUGUGGCCUUAACCAUACGAUGGUUUUGGACACUUUUUAGCUUCAUUGCGGAAGGGGAGAGUGAAAUUCCAUGUGUAGCGUGGAAAUGCGCUACAUAUAUGGAGGAACACCGGUGGCGAAAGCGGCUCUCUGGGCUGGAACUGACGCUGAAGCUCCAAAGCGUGGGGAGCCAACAGGAUUAGAUACCCUGGUAGUCCACGCCCUAAACCAUGAGUGCUAAGUGUUAGGCCCUUUCCGGGGCUUAGUGCCGCAGCUAACGCAUUAAGCACUCCGCCUGGGGAGUACGACCGCAAGGUUGAAACUCAAAGGAAUUGACAGGGGCCCGCACAAGCGGUGGAGCAUGUGGUUUAAUUCGAAGCAACGCGAAGAAACUUACCACGUCUUGACAUCCCUCUGAUCGCUCUACAGAUAUAGUUUUCCUUCGGGACAGAGGUGACAGGUGGUGCAUGGUUGUCGUCGGCUCGUGUCGGGAGAUGUUGGGUUAAGUCCCGCAACGAGCGCAACCCCUAUUGUUAGUUGCCAUCAUUCAGUGGGGCACUCUAACUCGACUGCCAGUAGUAAUCCGGAGGAAGGUGGGGAUGACGUCAAAUCCUCAUGCCCCUUAUGACCUGGGCUACACCCGUGUUCCAAUGGCUGGUACCACGAGUCGCAAGCCGGGGGCGGCAAGUUAUUCUAUGAAACCCAGUUUCAGUUGGGAUUGUAGGCUGCAAUUGGCCUACAGGAAGUGGGAAUCGUUAGUAAUCGCGGAUCAGCACGCCGCGGUGAAUACGUUCCCGGGCCU